Molecule: ribosomal RNA, 301 nt
Filed under: uncultured bacterium
Lineage: Bacteria
Description: partial 16S ribosomal RNA
Rfam family: Bacterial small subunit ribosomal RNA
Source: RNAcentral
GUCCGCGGGAAUACGUAGGGUGCGAGCGUUAAUCGGAAUUACUGGGCGUAAAGCGGGCGCAGACGGUUACUUAAGCAGGAUGUGAAAUCCCCGGGCUCAACCUGGGAAUUGCGUUCUGAACUGGGUGGCUAGAGUGUGUCAGAGGGGGGUAGAAUUCCACGUGUAGCAGUGAAAUGCGUAGAGAUGUGGAGGAAUACCGAUGGCGAAGGCAGCCCCCUGGGAUAGCACUGACGUUCAUGCCCGAAAGCGUGGGUAGCAAACAGGAUUAGAUACCCCAGUAGUCCCUGUCUCUUAUACACAU